This 488-nucleotide ribosomal RNA is filed under the name uncultured bacterium. RNAcentral's name for it is "partial 16S ribosomal RNA". It matches the Rfam family "Bacterial small subunit ribosomal RNA", at positions 30 to 507 of the family's 1533-position model. The record is from RNAcentral.
UGAACGCUGGCGGCAGGCCUAACACAUGCAAGUCGACUGGUAACAGGAAACAGCUUGCUGUUUCGCUGACGAGUGGCGGACGGGUGAGUAAUGUCUGGGAAACUGCCUGAUGGAGGGGGAUAACUACUGGAAACGGUAGCUAAUACCGCAUAACGUCGCAAGACCAAAGAGGGGGACCUUCGGGCCUCUUGCCAUCAGAUGUGCCCAGAUGGGAUUAGCUAGUAGGUGGGGUAACGGCUCACCUAGGCGACGAUCCCUAGCUGGUCUGAGAGGAAGACCAGCCACACUGGAACUGAGACACGGUCCAGACUCCUACGGGAGGCAGCAGUGGGGAAUAUUGCACAAUGGGCGCAAGCCUGAUGCAGCCAUGCCGCGUGUAUGAAGAAGGCCUUCGGGUUGUAAAGUACUUUCAGCGGGGAGGAAGGGAGUAAAGUUAAUACCUUUGCUCAUUGACGUUACCCGCAGAAGAAGCACCGGCUAACUCCGUG